This 465-nucleotide ribosomal RNA is filed under the name uncultured bacterium. RNAcentral's name for it is "partial 16S ribosomal RNA". It matches the Rfam family "Bacterial small subunit ribosomal RNA", at positions 28 to 507 of the family's 1533-position model. The record is from RNAcentral.
GACGAACGCUGGCGGCGUGCUUAACACAUGCAAGUCGAACGGAAAGGCCCUGCUUGCAGGGUACUCGAGUGGCGAACGGGUGAGUAACACGUGGGUGAUCUGCCCUGCACUUCGGGAUAAGCCUGGGAAACUGGGUCUAAUACCGGAUAGGAGCCAUUUUUAGUGUGAUGGUUGGAAAGUUUUUUCGGUGUAGGAUGAGCUCGCGGCCUAUCAGCUUGUUGGUGGGGUAAUGGCCUACCAAGGCGGCGACGGGUAGCCGGCCUGAGAGGGUGGACGGCCACAUUGGGACUGAGAUAAGGCCCAGACUCCUACGGGAGGCAGCAGGGGGGAAUAUUGCACAAUGGGCGCAAGCCUGAUGCAGCGACGCCGCGUGGGGGAUGACGGCCUUCGGGUUGUAAACUCCUUUCGCUAGGGACGAAGCUUUUUGUGACGGUACCUAGAUAAGAAGCACCGGCUAACUACGUG